Molecule: long non-coding RNA, 1047 nt
Filed under: Felis catus (domestic cat)
Lineage: Eukaryota; Metazoa; Chordata; Mammalia; Carnivora; Felidae
Description: lncRNA (ENSFCAG00000051635.1)
Source: RNAcentral
AUGGUAUUUGUGUUGAAGUUGGUCUGCAGAGUCCCCGGAGACUCGGUGACUGACAGACCUAGGUCUCACUUGGGCCCAUGUAACCAGGUGUGUCACAGGCAGGCUGGGGGCAGGAGAGCACUGGCCCCGGCACAGCUCAUCCGGGAGCGCGCGCCGGGAGCCUGUGCGCACGCGCGCUGUGGUGCGGCCAGGUGUGUUCACCUGAGUGCUGAAAAGGCGGAGGAAGACGCGGACAGCAGUCUUCUGCCAGGGGGUUACGUUGUAACCAUCCACGUCGUUUCCCCACGUCUGUGUCUUCCCCGCUACCACUCUGGAACGCAGCGAUGUUUCCCUCUUUCGUGCAGAAAGGCGUCCAGCUCGUUACCAAUCGGGGGAGGCACUUGGGUACGGCGGGCACGCAUGCAGCUCGGGUUUGACCAAACGGUCGUGCGCGGUCCGUGCAGGCGGCACGGAGCCGUGUCGUGCGUCCUCGCGGGGCAGCACAGCCGGUGCAAGGCUUCGAAGGCGGACUGCGGCUCAGGACCACGAGGGAUCUUCUCUGCCCCAGGGCGCUGGGGCCAGCUCCCCGUCCUUCCCGCCGCCGGACGGCCAAGCCCAGGUAACCUGUGGUCCUGCAAGAAUAUACGCACCAUUUGUACCGAUCUCGCCCCUUCCCCCCCUUGGCUUCUUUCGGCUCCCCCGGCCCCUCCCUUUUCUCCCGCAUCCCUGCAGGAUCCGCAGGGGAAGGCCCGGACGCGCCCCCCGGUUUGCAGGGCAACAGGGACGUCACGAAGCCGCCGCCAACAAUUGGUUGCCGGGUCUCUGGGGGCGGGGCAGAGGAGGCGGGGCCCGGCGCAGGUGCAGCGGCGCGCUGGUCUCCCCGUUGCGGUCGGGCCGGCAGGUAGUGCACCGGCCCGGCCGCACCCAGAUGCCCAGGGCCCGCUGGUCCCCACGUGCCUCCCCGACGCUGGGCAAACGCGCUGCUGGGCGUCUGGAACGGGGCACCUGUCGUUCUGCCCGUCACCUCGCUGCCUGGCCAUCACAGGCUUUCCCAGCAGAGGAACCUGG